Molecule: ribosomal RNA, 209 nt
Filed under: uncultured Syntrophus sp.
Lineage: Bacteria; Pseudomonadati; Thermodesulfobacteriota; Syntrophia; Syntrophales; Syntrophaceae
Description: partial 16S ribosomal RNA
Rfam family: Bacterial small subunit ribosomal RNA
Source: RNAcentral
CGUGUAGGCGGCUAGACAAGUCAGAUGUGAAAUCCCUGGGCUUAACCCAGGACGUGCAUUUGAAACUGUUUGGCUUGAGUAAGGAAGAGGGAAGUGGAAGUUCCUGGUGUAGAGGUGAAAUUCGUAGAUAUCAGGAGGAACACCGGUGGCGAAGGCGACUUCCUGGUCCUAUACUGACGCUGAGACGCGAGAGCGUGGGGAGCGAAACA